Molecule: long non-coding RNA, 424 nt
Organism: Pocillopora damicornis (cauliflower coral)
Lineage: Eukaryota; Metazoa; Cnidaria; Anthozoa; Scleractinia; Pocilloporidae
Source: RefSeq, a predicted model, not a curated record
UUUGAAUGUACUUUUCAUCGGUUGAUCACUUUUCUCAACUGUUUUGCUUAGUAUAACAUUUACAAAGAUAGCUUUUAUUGUGGUUCAAUGGGAAAACGAGAAUAGCGUGAGUGUUGUAAAAGAGAAGAAAGUCGUUGGCGCCGUGGAGUUAAAAGAAGGGACAACAGUUGACAUAUGGACUGGUACAAACAAGGGUCGAGUGGCCAUCUGUAAAGCUACGAUUUUGAAAGUUUGUGAUGUCAAGGAAUCCAGAUACAAAAUGGUCAAGGUUCUUGUUGACAACCUCAUUCAAGGCCAACUCAUUGUGAGCCCAGGAAAAAAAAAACCAACAGUACAAACAGCAGCUAAGUUUGCAGUUUAGGAUAACUUCAUUCUAAUUUAUUGUUACAGUUACAACAAGAUUUUAAUCAAAAAAUCAAUUUUA